GGCAGUGACGCCCGAGGCAGGACAUGCCCUCUCUGCCCUCCUGGAAGUACCCUGCCGCGGGAAGCAGCAGUCACCUUCUGGAACCCCAUACGCACGAUGCCCCGGAUUUAGUCUGGUUUCUGUUGUAGCCAGAAGUAUUAGCUGGUCUUUCUGUUUCAGAAGCUCUUAAAAAAAAAAAAAAGGAAACACAUAACACUUUUUUAUUAAAAAAACAAAAGGGCCACAACAACAUGCAAAGUAGGCCCUGGGCGCCCCUCUGCCCGCACCUUCAGCGUGUUGUCACAGAAAAGCAGAAUCAGCAUCUCGCACGGAAUCAAGGCAGGAGCACAAGGUGUUUCACUAGACAUUAAGGAACGUGUCUCCCCGUGGUGGUACGUGCACGGGGACGUUAUGGGAAGGAGCACAGAGUACGGGGAGAAAUGAAGCCCUCUUCCCUCCUCCUAGCCAGCCAGUCCCCUCCCUGCGGCCGCUUCUGUCCCUGAUUUCCGGAACAUUCUUCCAGAGGUGGAGUGAGGUCUUCUCACCGUUCUCAGGUGAUAUUUAUUCAUGGCCACGCUUGAUUCCUUCUAGGCUCAUUUCUGUAAACCCUUCCAGGGUUGUUAAAAGAGUGUCUGAGAGGCGGCGUGGCCCUGGGCUUCCAUCUGACUGCCUAACUGCCUUCACUAAUCACGCUGAGAUCAAGCGGAUAAAAAGACCCUCCAAGGUCGGAGGUGUUGGCUAGUACUUCUCAUUUUGGAAUAUUCUGGUCAGCAAUCCAUAAAACCUGGCUUGAGACUCUCCUCCUGCAGGAAGGCCUCCUGGAUUCCUGCCCUAACCUUCAGCUGAGCUCAUGUCGCCCGUCAAAUAGGCGCCUUCUCCAGUAACCUCAGGAUCCAGACGAGUGGUGUCACCAUCUCCCAGCCUCCCAGGCUAGAAGCCCCCCAGUCCUGGAAAGCAUCCUAGCCCCUGGGCAUGCUGACAUUUACUGCUAUAACAGGAUUUCACACUCUCGAAAUCUGCACGGCAGCAUCUGUGCCUGGAAGUUUCAGAGAAAUUAAGGGAGGCUGUGAGCUCAGGGUCUGACCUUUGGGCAGAGGAUGGGGCGGGGAGCACUGGUCUUCAAAGCUGGCUUUGAUCUCCCAGGACUAGGUGUCCUGGGAUGCAAGCCAGCUGUGCCACUGGUGGCCUGGGAACCCCUGGACAGGGCACCUGACUCAGCCACUGUGACCCCUCCAUCCCCGCCCCUGCCCAGUUUCCGCUAAAAGCACCAGCCCCCUUACCUUAGGUCAUGAGCAGGUAAUGGUGGGGAGGGGCUUGGCAAAAUACACAAGCCCUAUAGACUCUUAGGGUCCCCUCCAGAUUCAAGGUUGGUAGCUGUGAGUGAAAUACAUGCAAAUUAGGAAAGGAAACCAGACUGAAUUCAGUCAUUCUGCUUCACCCCUGCUGGGGCUGUCCCGAGACCCGUCCAGCCACCCACACCCUCACGUGGGAGAACGGGCUCUGGGCCCAGGCGUGUGCUGACAGGCCUGUGAGCCCGGCGUGGGCGGCCCCUGGUUCUCCACAGCCCCUGCAGACGGACAGCAGCCGGCCAACUGGACGACCAAGGAGCAGAGCAGUGGGCGUGAGGGCGGUGAGGGCGGCGGGCAUCCUCUGGGCCCUCGGGCCUUUUGUCCCCGAACCGAGGCUCUGAGACUUUCAACCGAGUGGCGGAGCCACGCUGUCCCCCAGGAUAAGAACGGGGCAUCUGUGCGGGGCCUCUGGACACCAGGUCCCACCCUCCUGGGAGAGAGCGCGAGCAGCGUGCUUGGUGACGGGGGUCUUUGUCGGGUCGGUGAAGACCUCGCCAGGUUCGUUCCCAUUUUCAAGUAAGGUCACAUUCGCAAGUAGGGGGGACUCGGACAUAGCUUUCGGGCGCCAGGACCCCAUCCGCCAGCCUGGUCCUCGGGCUCUCAGUCUUGACCAUCAGUCCUUUGGUGGAUAUAGACGGGGCUGAAGCGACUCUUGGAUUCGCGCUGCCUGGGGACUCAGAGAUGAAAAGACCCCGUCCCGCCCUCAGAUGGCCUGCGGUCUUUCUGCCCGGUCUCCUCUCGUGAACCCGAGCGUCGCGGGAGGGGAUGUCCUGCGUGCACCGAGAGAGGAGGGAAAGCGUCCAGGUGCCCACAUCUGUGCCGGGUCCUCACAAUCAGAAACAAAUGCCAAGAGGACUUUGGGUUGAUGGACCCCUGUCAUCACGGCCUACCAUGUGUAUGGAUUUAGGGGCUUGGUGGACCCUGGUGAACCACGUCUGGUCAAGGAAGGUGCGUGUGAACAAAAUUCACUUGGAGAAGUUCCACGAGACGCCCUCGUGCCGUGUUCGGUGGGGGCCGGCCUCUGGGAGCGCCUUGCGCCCCGCACGGCUGGACUGAGGU
Acinonyx jubatus (cheetah) is the source of this 2387-nucleotide long non-coding RNA. RefSeq lists it as uncharacterized. The transcript is spliced from 3 exons. NCBI's taxonomy places the organism in Eukaryota, Metazoa, Chordata, Mammalia, Carnivora, Felidae. The record is from RefSeq and is a predicted model, not a curated record.